UCGCCUGUUUAACAAAAACAUGUCCUUUUGUUUAUAUAAAAGGUCGGGCCUGCCCAGUGAGUUUAUUUAACGGCCGCAGUAUUUUGACUGUGCAAAGGUAGCAUAAUCAUUAGUUUCUUAAUUAGAAGCUGGAAUGAAAGGUUUGAUGAGAAAAUAACUGUCUCAGUCUUAAUUUUUUUGAAUUUUAUUUUUAAGUAAAAAAGCUUAAAUUUGUUAGAAAGACGAGAAGACCCUAUAGAGUUUUAUAUUUUUAAUAAGAAUAUUUAUUAGGAUAGAUAAUUUUUUUUAUGACAGAGUAUUUGGUUGGGGUGAUUAAAAAAUUAGUUAAACUUUUUUUUGUUUUGAAUAUUUAUUUAUAGAUACUUGAUCCUUUAUUUAAGAUUAAAAGUUCAAAUUACCUUAGGGAUAACAGCGUUAUUUUUUCUGAGAGUUCAAANUGAAGAGAGAG
Molecule: ribosomal RNA, 448 nt
Filed under: Acanthotomicus sp. 3 AIC-2013
Lineage: Eukaryota; Metazoa; Arthropoda; Insecta; Coleoptera; Curculionidae
Description: partial 16S ribosomal RNA
Rfam family: Archaeal large subunit ribosomal RNA (bases 1-208)
Source: RNAcentral